CAGUUUGGCUGUCUUUUAGCCACUGAGUUUCUUUACCCAUUUUUAUGUUUUUCUUUUUUUGAAGGGAAAUGAUAUUUUUGCCGGUGGAUCAGAAUCAUACGUGGCUGGCAAAAAGAAUGGGCUUGGGUGUAAUCCAUUCAUCUUCCCCGGUCUCUCUCCUCUCUGUCUAACCUCCCUCGAGUUCCACCUCCAUCUUUUGGGUAUUCUUUUCCCCCCUCCUCUCUCUCUUUGUAUCUCUCCAUCUUCAUCGGCGUACUGUAGGUGCAAGCAACGGUGGCCGGAAUGCCAGAUUUCAGCUCAGGGAUGUCAAAGAUCAAUUGACGAUGGUGUGGCCCAGGCGGAGCCGGCGGAUCACCAGUUUGGGAAGCCGGGUCCGACAGAGGGCAGUGGCAGCGGCAUAGAGCAGCGGUGAUGAUCAACGACGGGUUAACGGCACCGGAAAUACGUUGCUGGAGAAGGAGCGCGUGGGCGAGUUAGAUCUACUCUCAGGCGCGUGGGCGCAAGUCAGACGACGGCGGUGAUGAACUGUGAGGAUGUCGCGGUUCCGGCGGUGAUGUGGUCGGUCAGGAACGGCGGUGAGCUGAACAGUGAGCAAGGAUCGUCCAGCAACGAACGAGGAUCAGAUCACGGUGGCUGUGAUGCCAGACCCGGCGAGGGCUGUGAGAAGUUAGAACCGCCGAGUCGGAGUCGUAGAGCUUGACCCGGUGAUAAACCGAUUGUGACAAACCGACGGCAAUGAUGGAUUGCAGUGAAGCUGUCCACGUGUGGGACUCUUUUCACCGGUGUGGUCUCUGUUUCUUGGGUUUGUUGUUGAUGGGUGUGUUGAGAAGUGGCCGGAGGAGGACUCGCGAGAGUGGAGGCCCACGGAGGAGUGAGAGUGAGGAGUUACGUAACGGGCUCUGCACGUAGUACAGCGGCCGUCGCGGUGGUGAGUAAGGAUGUCGGCAGCGGUACUGAACGGCGACCAAGGCUUCAUAGUUUCGGUGAGAUGACGGGACACGACAAUGAUGGAGUCCGGCAGUGGUGAGGUCUGGUUUCGCCGAAAGUUGCAGAGGUUUGCCGGCGUUCUUGGCUGUCCUCUUAUUCAUCGAAAACUUGUUACCAUCAGAUUCUCGACUCUAAGCAGUCCUUCGUUGUGGUAGGUUGCAGUUCGGCUCAAUCUUGUCAUCGGGUGUUUUGUUUGCGAUAUUUGCUGUCAACGCAAUGAAGCCAAAUAUGAUUAAUUUAUGCCAGCUGGACCGCCACAUCAUUUAUGCCUAGUAAAUUGUCAGACAUUUCUGCCUGAGUAUCACGAAUCAAGAAAAAAAAUGAAAAAACGAAUUGUGUUCUAGGGCUCCUGUCGCUCCUUGAUGGCUCGAAGUCGAAGGAUAAGAUUUGGGUUUGUGUUUGGUAGAUUAGCUUCAGUUUCAUCAGGAGCAGCGCCAAAAAGAUUACAAGUAGCUCAUCCAAUAAUUCCAAUUUAUGCAUGGUCAAACGGGAUUUGCCGGUUACAUGUGGGCAGAAUAGCAUAUGUUAUAACUCUGAUAAUGGUCCAGGUUGUCUCUGCAAAUGCCCUCAAGGUUACCAGUUGCCCAGAUAUUUGCAUCAACACAAAUGGGAGUUUUAAUUUCUUGCCCAAUGGGAUAUAUCAGGGAUGGCAUAACAAGCCAGGGUUGCAAAAUUCCAGCUGAUCAAUCAAUAUGGCCAAAGGUUAUUGUUGAGUCACCACGGGAGAGGAUCAACAUGGAAGAUGCUCUGACUACACUAAAAAAAUAUCAAACACACGUUUCUUGCAAGUUGGGAAAAGCUAGAAACAUGAAGAUUGCAUUGCUUUGAGAGAUGGAACUAUUUGUAGCUCCUAUGCUUCAUGAAAUCAGAACUAUUUCUCAAAGGAAGGCCCGCACAGUAACCCAAAAGUGGUCCAAAGCAUGUUUGGUUGGUUAUGUUUUGUUUGAACAAUUGUAAAACAUUUCAAUAAAAAGGCUCAAAACUUGAAACACCAAAAUGGUGUUUUAAGUUGUUUCAGCAUUGUUUGGCCCACUCAUGCACUGUAGCAGAGGAAGCAUUUGAGCCAAACUUAUAACACUCUAUUACAGGUAUAAAGAGGACACUUUAAAACAUUUUAGGUCAUUUUGCACCCCAACUUUCUCUCUCCUCCAUCGAUGCUCUUUGUGGCGAUUCGACUAUAGUGCUUGGGUUCCUAAAAACUUCGAUCGAUUCAAGCUUUUUUUGCUUAAAACCGCCACCGAUCUGAAGCUCUUUGCACUUUUUUUCGAAGAAGAAGCCAGAUUCAUACGAGGUUGGGGUCACUGCUUGCUGCUAAAGCCCGUUUUGUUUCUAAAUUUUUGUUGGUAUCGAUGUUGAUGGUCACUGGAAAAUGAGGAAUUUAGGGUGGAGGAUACUCCUAGGGGUUGGUACUAUAUUGUCAGAGUAUAAAAAAAAAGGGAAUUCAUGUUGAUGAUGAUUGGAAUAUUCCAAGUAUUAUUUGGAUUAUGUUAUGUGUGUUUGGUGCUAUAAUGGGUCAUUGUUGCCGUUUGGAGUGGACUUCCAAUUGUGACUACGUUGCUGUUUGCAAAAUUUGGAACCUAUCGGACUAGUGCUUUCUUCAGUAAUGGUAGACUUAAAAGGGACUACUCUUAGGGCUUGGUUGUUUUUCAUGGUGUAAGAUUUUAGAAAGCACUUGGAAGUAUAGUAAGAAAUUUUUUUCCAAUUUUACCUUCGGUAAAGAAUACAAUUCAAGAGCUGUGAGGGAUGAAACAUCAUUAUGUAAAAAAUUUGGAUUGUUGUUUAUUAUAUAUGCAGGUUGUAUAUUGUGCUAUUAAAUGUAUUUCAAUGGAAUGGAUGGUUUAGU
Long non-coding RNA from Cornus florida, 2830 nucleotides. RefSeq lists it as uncharacterized. The transcript has 8 exons. NCBI's taxonomy places the organism in Eukaryota, Viridiplantae, Streptophyta, Magnoliopsida, Cornales, Cornaceae. The record is from RefSeq and is a predicted model, not a curated record.